RNAcentral lists this small RNA (673 nucleotides) under Pan troglodytes (chimpanzee). Its description in RNAcentral is "processed transcript". The record is from RNAcentral. Lineage: Eukaryota; Metazoa; Chordata; Mammalia; Primates; Hominidae.
GCAUCUCCUCCUCCCUCUCCCCGGGCUCCUACUGGCCUGAGGUUGAGGGCGGCUGGGGGCUCGGGGCAGGCUCCGCGGCGUUCCCCUCCCCACCCCGGCCCUCCGUUCAGCCGCGCUUCUCCGGGGCUGCGGUUCCUACUGCGCGAGCUGCCAGUGGAUUCGCUCUUUCCCUCCGUCCGUGGCCCGCCUGGGCGGCCUUGUUCUUUCCGCAGCAGCCAGAUAACCUUCUGUUCGGUGAUGAAAUUAUCACUAAUGGUUUUCAUUCCUGUGAAAGUGAUGAGGAGGAUAGAGCCUCACAUGCAAGCUCUAGUGACUGGACUCCAAGGCCACGGAUAGGUCCAUAUACUUUUGUUCAGCAACAUCUUAUGAUUGGCACAGAUCCUCGAACAAUUCUUAAAGAUUUAUUGCCGGAAACAAUACCUCCACCUGAGUUGGAUGAUAUGACACUGUGGCAGAUUGUUAUUAAUAUCCUUUCAGAACCACCAAAAAGGAAAAAAAGAAAAGAUAUUAAUACAAUUGAAGAUGCUGUGAAAUUACUGCAAGAGUGCAAAAAAAUUAUAGUUCUAACUGGAGCUGGGGUGUCUGUUUCAUGUGGAAUACCUGACUUCAGGUCAAGGGAUGGUAUUUAUGCUCGCCUUGCUGUAGACUUCCCAGAUCUUCCAGAUCCUCAAGC